UAUCCGUAGGUGAACCUGCGGAAGGAUCAUUAUUGUAUAACCGAGGUGCGAGGGCUGUCGCUGACCCGAAAGGUCGUGCACGCCCGAGUGCCCUCACACACAUCCAUCUCACCCCUAUGUGCACCACCGCGUGGGUCCCCCCUUGGCUUGUUCGGAGGGGGGCUUACGUUUUCACACAAACUUUGUAUGCAGUGUAGAAUGUAUUUUUUGUUUUUGCGAUCACGCAAUCAAUACAACUUUCAACAACGGAUCUCUUGGCUCUCGCGUCGAUGAAGAACGCAGC
This 283-nucleotide unclassified non-coding RNA is filed under the name plant metagenome. RNAcentral's name for it is "partial contains small subunit ribosomal RNA, internal transcribed spacer 1, and 5.8S ribosomal RNA". The stretch from base 235 to 283 matches the Rfam family "5.8S ribosomal RNA", at positions 1 to 49 of the family's 154-position model. The record is from RNAcentral.